AACAUAAGUUCGUAAAGGGAAAGAUUUAUCGGUAAGAGAUUAGCCUGUACGGUAUCAGAUAGUUGGUGGGGUAAUGGCCUACCAAGUCUAUGACACCUAACUGGUUUGAGAGGAUGAUCAGUCACACUGGAACUGAGACACGGUCCAGACUCCUACGGGAGGCAGCAGUGGGGAAUAUUGCACAAUGGACGAAAGUCUGAUGCAGCAACGCCGCGUGGAGGAUGACACAUUUCGGUGCGUAAACUCCUUUUAUAUGAGAAGAUAAUGACGGUAUCAUAUGAAUAAGCACCGGCUAACUCCGUGCCAGCAGCCGCGGUAAUACGGGGGGUGCAAGCGUUACUCGGAAUCACUGGGCGUAAAGAGCAUGUAGGCGGGUGAAUAAGUUGGAAGUGAAAUCCUAUAGCUUAACUAUAGAACUGCUUCCAAAACUGUUCAUCUAGAGUAUGGGAGAGGUAGAUGGAAUUUCUGGUGUAGGGGUAAAAUCCGUAGAGAUCAGAAGGAAUACCGAUUGCGAA
This 515-nucleotide ribosomal RNA is filed under the name uncultured Campylobacterota bacterium. Its description in RNAcentral is "bacterial SSU rRNA". It matches the Rfam family "Bacterial small subunit ribosomal RNA", at positions 185 to 719 of the family's 1533-position model. Lineage: Bacteria; Pseudomonadati; Campylobacterota. The record is from RNAcentral.